CCGGGCGUUAAGUUGCAGGGUAUAGACCCGAAACCCGGUGAUCUAGCCAUGGGCAGGUUGAAGGUUGGGUAACACUAACUGGAGGACCGAACCGACUAAUGUUGAAAAAUUAGCGGAUGACCUGUGGCUGGGGGUGAAAGGCCAAUCAAACCGGGAGAUAGCUGGUUCUCCCCGAAAGCUAUUUAGGUAGCGCCUCGUGAAUUCAUCUCCGGGGGUAGAGCACUGUUUCGGCUAGGGGGCCAUCCCGGCUUACCAACCCGAUGCAAACUGCGAAUACCGGAGAAUGUUAUCACGGGAGACACACGGCGGGUGCUAACGUCCGUCGUGAAGAGGGAAACAACCCAGACCGCCAGCUAAGGUCCCAAAGUCAUGGUUAAGUGGGAAACGAUGUGGGAAGGCCCAGACAGCCAGGAUGUUGGCUUAGAAGCAGCCAUCAUUUAAAGAAAGCGUAAUAGCUCACUGGUCGAGUCGGCCUGCGCGGAAGAUGUAACGGGGCUAAACCAUGCACCGAAGCUGCGGCAGCGACACUGUGUGUUGUUGGGUAGGGGAGCGUUCUGUAAGCCUGUGAAGGUGUGUCGUGAGGCAUGCUGGAGGUAUCAGAAGUGCGAAUGCUGACAUAAGUAACGAUAAAGCGGGUGAAAAGCCCGCUCGCCGGAAGACCAAGGGUUCCUGUCCAACGUUAAUCGGGGCAGGGUGAGUCGACCCCUAAGGCGAGGCCGAAAGGCGUAGUCGAUGGGAAACGGGUUAAUAUUCCCGUACUUGGUGUUACUGCGAAGGGGGGACGGAGAAGGCUAUGUUGGCCGGGCGACGGUUGUCCCGGUUUAAGCGUGUAGGUGUGUGUUCCAGGUAAAUCCGGUUCACUUUAACACUGAGGCGUGACGACGAGGCACUACGGUGCUGAAGCAACAAAUGCCCUGCUUCCAGGAAAAGCCUCUAAGCAUCAGGUAACAUCAAAUCGUACCCCAAACCGACACAGGUGGUCAGGUAGAGAAUACCAAGGCGCUUGAGAGAACUCGGGUGAAGGAACUAGGCAAAAUGGUGCCGUAACUUCGGGAGAAGGCACGCUGACACGUAGGUGAAGUGAUUUACUCAUGGAGCUGAAGUCAGUCGAAGAUACCAGCUGGCUGCAACUGUUUAUUAAAAACACAGCACUGUGCAAACACGAAAGUGGACGUAUACGGUGUGACGCCUGCCCGGUGCCGGAAGGUUAAUUGAUGGGGUCAGCGCAAGCGAAGCUCCUGAUCGAAGCCCCGGUAAACGGCGGCCGUAACUAUAACGGUCCUAAGGUAGCGAAAUUCCUUGUCGGGUAAGUUCCGACCUGCACGAAUGGCGUAAUGAUGGCCAGGCUGUCUCCACCCGAGACUCAGUGAAAUUGAACUCGCUGUGAAGAUGCAGUGUACCCGCGGCAAGACGGAAAGACCCCGUGAACCUUUACUAUAGCUUGACACUGAACAUUGAGCCUUGAUGUGUAGGAUAGGUGGGAGGCUUUGAAGUGUGGACGCCAGUCUGCAUGGAGCCGACCUUGAAAUACCACCCUUUAAUGUUUGAUGUUCUAACGUGGACCCGUUACCCGGGUUGCGGACAGUGUCUGGUGGGUAGUUUGACUGGGGCGGUCUCCUCC
RNAcentral lists this ribosomal RNA (1621 nucleotides) under Salmonella enterica. Its description in RNAcentral is "partial 23S ribosomal RNA". It matches the Rfam family "Bacterial large subunit ribosomal RNA", at positions 688 to 2290 of the family's 2925-position model. The record is from RNAcentral. Lineage: Bacteria; Pseudomonadati; Pseudomonadota; Gammaproteobacteria; Enterobacterales; Enterobacteriaceae.